UACGAAGGGGGGCUAGCGUUGUUCGGAAUUACUGGGCGUAAAGCGCACGCAGGCGGUCUAUCAAGUCUGACGUGAAAUCUCUCGGCUUAACCGGGAGCGGUCGUUGGAAACUGAUGGACUUGAGGCGAUGAGAGGGGUGUGGAAUUCCCGGUGUAGUGGUGGAAUGCGUAGAUAUCGGGAGGAACAUCAGUGGCGAAAGCGGCACCCUGGCAUUAGCCUGACGCUCAUGUGCGAAAGCGUGGGGAGCGAACGGGAUUGAGAAACCCGAGGUAGUACCCA
This 279-nucleotide ribosomal RNA is filed under the name uncultured bacterium. Its description in RNAcentral is "partial 16S ribosomal RNA". It matches the Rfam family "Bacterial small subunit ribosomal RNA", at positions 524 to 797 of the family's 1533-position model. The record is from RNAcentral.